AUAUCAGUAAGCGGAGGAAUAGAAACUAACAAGGAUUCCCGUAGUAACUGCGAGUGAAGUGGGAAUAGCUCAAAUUUAAAAUCUGGUCCACUUGUGGAUCCGAAUUGUAGUCUAUAGAGGUGCUUUCUUGGGGACGCGUGCGCACAAGUGUCCUGGAAUGGACCAUCACAGAGGGUGAGAAUCCCGUUUGGGCGCACGUUGUCUUCAUUUACGAGGCACUCUCGAAGAGUCGAGUUGUUUGGGAAUGCAGCUCAAAUUGGGUGGUAAACUUCAUCCAAGGCUAAAUAUUGGCAAGAGACCGAUAGCGAACAAGUACCGUGAGGGAAAGAUGAAAAGCACCUUGAAAAGGGAGUGAAGUAGCGCGUGAAAUUGUUAAAAGGGAAACGAUUGAGGCCAGCAUUGUGCGCAUGUUUUUGGGCUGUGAGUGUACGGUGUGGGAGCGAAAGCCUUGCAUGUGCAUAGCACUCUGACAACGGCGCGCGAGUCAGGGCCGCUUUGACCUGCCUUAUAAUACUCUGGAAAGGUAGUCAUCACUUGUGAUGACCUUAUAGUCCAGAGGGAUGUGGUGAGUUGGAGCUGGUAGUGUGGCAUGUUUCUGAUUGUGCGUUGUGCUAGUGUAGACUGCGUGCAGACUGCGCCAGCCCAAAGCAUAAUAACAUUUACUACACACACGAUCCUGACGGAAUGGUAUCAACCGA
This 698-nucleotide ribosomal RNA is filed under the name uncultured fungus. RNAcentral describes it as "eukaryotic LSU rRNA". It matches the Rfam family "Eukaryotic large subunit ribosomal RNA", at positions 40 to 647 of the family's 3401-position model. Lineage: Eukaryota; Fungi. The record is from RNAcentral.